RNAcentral lists this ribosomal RNA (181 nucleotides) under Pyrgomorpha conica. RNAcentral's name for it is "partial 18S ribosomal RNA". It matches the Rfam family "Eukaryotic small subunit ribosomal RNA", at positions 1656 to 1831 of the family's 1831-position model. Lineage: Eukaryota; Metazoa; Arthropoda; Insecta; Orthoptera; Pyrgomorphidae. The record is from RNAcentral.
GCUUUUGUACACACCGCCCGUCGCUACUACCGAUUGAAUGAUGUAGUGAGGUCUUCGGACUGGUACGCGGCAUCGACUCCGUCGUUGCCGAUGUUACCGGAAAGAUGACCAAACUUGAUUAUUUAGAGGAAGUAAAAGUCGUAACAAGGUUUCCGUAGGUGAACCUGCGGAAGGAUCAUUA